This 497-nucleotide ribosomal RNA is filed under the name uncultured bacterium. RNAcentral's name for it is "partial 16S ribosomal RNA". It matches the Rfam family "Bacterial small subunit ribosomal RNA", at positions 28 to 507 of the family's 1533-position model. The record is from RNAcentral.
GAUGAACGCUGGCGGCGUGCCUAAUACAUGCAAGUCGAGCGAACAGACGAGGAGCUUGCUCCUCUGACGUUAGCGGCGGACGGGUGAGUAACAUGUGGAUAACCUACCUAUAAGACUGGGAUAACUUCGGGAAACCGGAGCUAAUACCGGAUAAUAUAUUGAACCGCAUGGUUCAAUAGUGAAAGACGGUUUUGCUGUCACUUAUAGAUGGAUCCGCGCCGCAUUAGCUAGUUGGUAAGGUAAGGGCUUACCAAGGCAACGAUGCGUAGCCGACCUGAGAGGGUGAUCGGCCACACUGGAACGGAGACACGGUCCAGACUCCUGCGGGAGGCAGCAGUAGGGAAUCUUGCGCAAUGGGCGAAAGCCUGACAGAGCAACGCCGCGUGAGUGAUGAAGGUCUUCGGAUCGUAAAACUCUGUUAUUAGGGAAGAACAAAUGUGUAAGUAACUAUGCACGUCUUGACGGUACCUAAUCAGAAAGCCACGGCUAACUACGUG